Molecule: ribosomal RNA, 372 nt
Filed under: uncultured bacterium
Lineage: Bacteria
Description: bacterial SSU rRNA
Rfam family: Bacterial small subunit ribosomal RNA
Source: RNAcentral
AUACGUAGGGGGCGAGCGUUGUCCGGAAUCACUGGGCGUAAAGGGUGCGUAGGUGGUUAUGCAAGUCAGGUGUAAAAGGCAUUGGCUCAACCAAUGUAAGCACUUGAAACUGUAUAACUUGAGUACAGGAGAGGUAAGCGGAAUUCCUAGUGUAGCGGUGAAAUGCGUAGAUAUUAGGAGGAACACCAGUGGCGAAGGCGGCUUACUGGACUGUAACUGACGCUGAGGCACGAAAGCGUGGGGAGCGAACAGGAUUAGAUACCCUGGUAGUCCACGCCGUAAACGAUGAGUGCUAGGUGUUGGCAUGCGAGUGUCAGUGCCGGAGUUAACACAUUAAGCACUCCGCCUGGGGAGUACGGUCGCAAGACUAAA